Molecule: ribosomal RNA, 454 nt
Filed under: Theileria buffeli
Lineage: Eukaryota; Apicomplexa; Aconoidasida; Piroplasmida; Theileriidae
Description: SSU rRNA
Rfam family: Eukaryotic small subunit ribosomal RNA
Source: RNAcentral
GGAGGGCAAGUCUGGUGCCAGCAGCCGCGGUAAUUCCAGCUCCAAUAGCGUAUAUUAAAAUUGUUGCAGUUAAAAAGCUCGUAGUUGAAUUUCUGCUGCAUUACAUAUCUCUUGUUUGAGUUUGUUUUUGUGGCUUAUUUCGGUUUGAUUUUUUCUUUCCGGAUGAUUACUUUGAGAAAAUUAGAGUGCUCAAAGCAGGCUUUUGCCUUGAAUAGUUUAGCAUGGAAUAAUAAAGUAGGACUUUGGUUCUAUUUUGUUGGUUUUAGGUACCAAAGUAAUGGUUAAUAGGAACAGUUGGGGGCAUUCGUAUUUAACUGUCAGAGGUGAAAUUCUUAGAUUUGUUAAAGACGAACUACUGCGAAAGCAUUUGCCAAGGAUGUUUUCAUUAAUCAAGAACGAAAGUUAGGGGAUCGAAGACGAUCAGAUACCGUCGUAGUCCUAACCAAUAAACUAA